GAUGAACGCUAGCGGGAGGCCUAACACAUGCAAGCCGAGCGGUAUUGUUUCUUCGGAAAUGAGAGAGCGGCGUACGGGUGCGGAACACGUGUGCAACCUGCCUUUAUCUGGGGGAUAGCCUUUCGAAAGGAAGAUUAAUACUCCAUAAUAUAUUGAACGGCAUCGUUUAAUAUUGAAAGCUCCGGCGGAUAGAGAUGGGCACGCGCAAGAUUAGCUAGUUGGUGAGGUAACGGCUCACCAAGGCGAUGAUCUUUAGGGGGCCUGAGAGGGUGAUCCCCCACACUGGUACUGAGACACGGACCAGACUCCUACGGGAGGCAGCAGUGAGGAAUAUUGGUCAAUGGGUGCAAGCCUGAACCAGCCAUCCCGCGUGAAGGACGACUGCCCUAUGGGUUGUAAACUUCUUUUGUAUAGGGAUAAACCUACCCUCGUGAGGGUAGCUGAAGGUACUAUACGAAUAAGCACCGGCUAACUCCGUGCCAGCAGCCGCGGUAAUACGGAGGGUGCAAGCGUUAUCCGGAUUUAUUGGGUUUAAAGGGUCCGUAGGCGGACUUAUAAGUCAGUGGUGAAAGCCUGUCGCUUAACGAUAGAACUGCCAUUGAUACUGUAAGUCUUGAGUAUAUUUGAGGUAGCUGGAAUAAGUAGUGUAGCGGUGAAAUGCAUAGAUAUUACUUAGAACACCAAUUGCGAAGGCGGGUUACCAAGAUAUAACUGACGCUGAGGGACGAAAGCGUGGGGAGCGAACAGGAUUAGAUACCCUGGUAGUCCACGCCGUAAACGAUGCUAACUCGUUUUUGGGCUUUAGGGUUCAGAGACCAAGCGAAAGUGAUAAGUUAGCCACCUGGGGAGUACGCUCGCAAGAGCGAAACUCAAAGGAAUUGACGGGGGCCCGCACAAGCGGUGGAUUAUGUGGUUUAAUUCGAUGAUACGCGAGGAACCUUACCAAGACUUAAAUGGGAAUUGACAGCUUUAGAAAUAGAGCUUUCUUCGGACAAUUUUCAAGGUGCUGCAUGGUUGUCGUCAGCUCGUGCCGUGAGGUGUUAGGUUAAGUCCUGCAACGAGCGCAACCCCUGUCACUAGUUGCCAUCAUUCAGUUGGGGACUCUAGUGAGACUGCCUACGCAAGUAGAGAGGAAGGUGGGGAUGACGUCAAAUCAUCACGGCCCUUACGUCUUGGGCCACACACGUAAUACAAUGGCCGGUACAGAGGGCAGCUACACAGCGAUGUGAUGCAAAUCUCGAAAGCCGGUCUCAGUUCGGAUUGGAGUCUGCAACUCGACUCUAUGAAGCUGGAAUCGCUAGUAAUCGCGCAUCAGCCAUGGCGCGGUGAAUACGUUCCCGGGCCU
This 1345-nucleotide ribosomal RNA is filed under the name uncultured bacterium. Its description in RNAcentral is "bacterial SSU rRNA". It matches the Rfam family "Bacterial small subunit ribosomal RNA", at positions 28 to 1381 of the family's 1533-position model. The record is from RNAcentral.